UACGUAGGGUGCAAGCGUUAAUCGGAAUUACUGGGCGUAAAGUGUGCGCAGGUGGCUUCGCAAGUCGAGUGUGAAAUCCCCGGGCUUAACCUGGGAAUUGCGCUCGAAACUACGGAGCUGGAGUAUGGCAGAGGGAGGUGGAAUUCCACGUGUAGCGGUGAAAUGCGUAGAGAUGUGGAGGAACACCAAUGGCGAAGGCAGCCUCCUGGGCCAAUACUGACACUCAUGCACGAAAGCGUGGGGAGCAAACAGG
This 253-nucleotide ribosomal RNA is filed under the name uncultured bacterium. RNAcentral describes it as "partial 16S ribosomal RNA". It matches the Rfam family "Bacterial small subunit ribosomal RNA", at positions 524 to 776 of the family's 1533-position model. The record is from RNAcentral.